UGGGGAAUUUUGGACAAUGGGCGAAAGCCUGAUCCAGCAAUGCCGCGUGUGUGAAGAAGGCCUUCGGGUUGUAAAGCACUUUUGUCCGGAAAGAAAUCCUUGGCUCUAAUACAGUCGGGGGAUGACGGUACCGGAAGAAUAAGCACCGGCUAACUACGUGCCAGCAGCCGCGGUAAUACGUAGGGUGCAAGCGUUAAUCGGAAUUACUGGGCGUAAAGCGUGCGCAGGCGGUUUGCUAAGACCGAUGUGAAAUCCCCGGGCUCAACCUGGGAACUGCAUUGGUGACUGGCAGGCUAGAGUAUGGCAGAGGGGGGUAGAAUUCCACGUGUAGCAGUGAAAUGCGUAGAGAUGUGGAGGAAUACCGAUGGCGAAGGCAGCCCCCUGGGCAAUACUGACGCUCAUGCACGAAAGCGUGGGGAGCAAACAGGAUUAGAUACCCUGGUAGUCCACGCCCUAAAACGAUGUCAACUAGUUGUUGGGGAUUCAUUUCCUAGUAACGUAGCUAACGCGUGAAGUUGACCGCCUGGGGAGUACGGUCGCAAGAUU
Molecule: ribosomal RNA, 546 nt
Filed under: uncultured bacterium
Lineage: Bacteria
Description: partial 16S ribosomal RNA
Rfam family: Bacterial small subunit ribosomal RNA
Source: RNAcentral